RNAcentral lists this unclassified non-coding RNA (172 nucleotides) under uncultured Herpotrichiellaceae. RNAcentral describes it as "sequence contains ITS2". Lineage: Eukaryota; Fungi; Ascomycota; Eurotiomycetes; Chaetothyriales; Herpotrichiellaceae. The record is from RNAcentral.
UCACCCCUCAAGCCCCGCGCUUGGUGUUGGACGGCCUGGCCGGGACACGUUCCCGGCCCCUCCUAAAGACAAUGACGGCGGCCUCGUGGGACCCCCGGUACACUGAGCUUUUAACGAGCACGUACCGGACUAAGGGUGCCCGGGGCACGGUCUUACCCAUACUUUUUUACAA